AACGAACGCUGGCGGCAGGCCUAACACAUGCAAGUCGAGCGAGGACUUCGGUUCUAGCGGCGGACGGGUGAGUAACGCGUGGGAAUGUGCCCUUCUCUACGGAAUAGCCCUGGGAAACUGGGAGUAGUACCGUAUACGCCCUAUUGGGGAAAGAUUUAUCGGAGAAGGAUCAGCCCGCGUUGGAUUAGGUAGUUGGUGGGGUAAUGGCCUACCAAGCCGACGAUCCAUAGCUGGUUUGAGAGGAUGAUCAGCCACACUGGGACUGAGACACGGCCCAGACUCCUACGGGAGGCAGCAGUGGGGAAUCUUAGACAAUGGGGGCAACCCUGAUCUAGCCAUGCCGCGUGAGUGAUGAAGGCCUUAGGGUUGUAAAGCUCUUUCAGCUGGGAAGAUAAUGACGGUACCAGCAGAAGAAGCCCCGGCUAACUCCGUG
This 433-nucleotide ribosomal RNA is filed under the name uncultured bacterium. Its description in RNAcentral is "partial 16S ribosomal RNA". It matches the Rfam family "Bacterial small subunit ribosomal RNA", at positions 29 to 507 of the family's 1533-position model. The record is from RNAcentral.